UCCACUGUGCGUACGCAGGGGCUUCUCCCACUUGAGAGAAGAAAGAUUCAUUGGAAUAACGUAGCAUGCAUUCAUCAUACCAAAUGAUCGACACCUUCUCUUUAGGGCAAUAUUGAACAAUAUCUUUGCUAGCAGCCAGGACACAUUCUUGGCAGACACCUUUCAAGAGGACAAUAUCCCCCCGACAAAGGAAAAGGCCGUAGGCCAUGUUGGAAGGGUCUUGACCGGCGGUGGUGUAGUAGAAUCCCUUCUCUUGUGUUGCAUUAGAAGAAAGAAAAAA
This 280-nucleotide unclassified non-coding RNA is filed under the name Hevea brasiliensis (rubber tree). The record is from RNAcentral. Lineage: Eukaryota; Viridiplantae; Streptophyta; Magnoliopsida; Malpighiales; Euphorbiaceae.